Molecule: long non-coding RNA, 1376 nt
Organism: Trifolium pratense (red clover)
Lineage: Eukaryota; Viridiplantae; Streptophyta; Magnoliopsida; Fabales; Fabaceae
Exons: 5
Source: RefSeq, a predicted model, not a curated record
CCAAACACAUCUUACGCGAUAUCACCAAACACCAUCUUCUCCAAAUCGAUCGAACCCAGCUACAACCCCAAAUCGACUCUCCGCCGUCUCCUCCAAGCACCGCCGUCUCCCUCUCUCACUCUCAGCCGUCCUCUCUCUCUCUCUCACUCUCAUCCGUCCUCUCUCUCACUCGUAAUCUCCAACCGUAGCUCUAAACCAAACCUUCUCUCACCCGUAAGGGAAACGCAGCAUCGCAAACCAUCAACUCAUCCUUCAACCGUGACGAUCCCGAUAUCAAUUGGCGAUUCUCCCUAAAUCUCAAACCCCGGUAUGGAUUCGUCCCCAAAUCCGUAACCCAGUGUCGAUUCAUCCCCAAAUUCCAGACAUCGGUUCGCGCAAAAUCUCUUGAAGAAUUGGUACCACCAUCGAAGGUUCAUUCUUCCACUUCAACCGAUUUCGUCGAUGCCGAUUUGCCGAUUCUUCGUUCGUCAAAGUCUAUCCUCUGCUAUUUAGUUUGGAAGUGAUGUUGGUGAAGCCUUGGAACCACAACGAAAGCUUCAGUUUGGAGUGUUUGAAUGUGACAUGCUAAAGUGUGAGGGAGUUAUAGAAGAGUUUCUUUUAGAAGUAAUCCUAAAUCCUAAAUAAUGAAGUGAUCCUAAAUCCUAAUCAAACUACUAGUGAUAAGUAUUUUGUUGUGCAGAAUCUUAUCAAGGUUGAAUCUUAAUACUUUAUAAUGUCAUGAGUAAAGUGCUUUCAACUAGUCAACUAUGUGAAGAUGGAAAUGUAACAAUAUUAUUUGGACAGAGAACAUCACAAUACAGAGAAUAUCCAUCCAACUCUGCUUUGAGUUUAAUAAAUAAAAGGAAAAUUGAACUCCAAAAGUCAUAGGCCAAAGUGAGUGUGUGGAAGAGUGAAGCAACAGAGCAGGUAUGGCCAGUAAACUCUACUUCUGGUGAACCUUGUACAUGUAAGACUAGUGAAAUUUGUUUUUUUGUGUCUAUGACUGCUUUAACUUUGUGGAAAAUGUGAGUGUCAAAUUUGUGUGUUUUUGUUUGCUCUAAGUUUUAGUUUUACCUUCUAAGUGUCAUUUAUCUCUCUUAUUUGAAAAGUUUAGGGAUUUAGUGAAAGAGAUGAAGCUUGUGCGUGUUAAGUGUUUGAGAACAAUCUGUUUUUGUACUUAGUGUUAGAAAGUAAUAUUUACUUGUGGUUUGUGAGUUGUAAUCUGAAAUGAAUAUCAUUGAACUUGUCUUAACUCAAUUAUCUUAGUGGAUAGAUCAAAUGUAAGAUAACUUGUGUUGCAUUUUUUUCGAUUUUAGAUCAUGUAGUAUGAUACUACCCGAAUGUAAUGUUAAUAUAUAUUAAGUUGGUCAUGUAUACAUAAUGGAUUUGAGCCAUGU